GGUUAAGCGACUAAGCGUACACGGUGGAUGCCCUGGCAGUCAGAGGCGAUGAAGGACGUGCUAAUCUGCGAUAAGCGUCGGUAAGGUGAUAUGAACCGUUAUAACCGGCGAUUUCCGAAUGGGGAAACCCAGUGUGAUUCGUCACACUAUCAUUAACUGAAUCCAUAGGUUAAUGAGGCGAACCGGGGGAACUGAAACAUCUAAGUACCCCGAGGAAAAGAAAUCAACCGAGAUUCCCCCAGUAGCGGCGAGCGAACGGGGAGCAGCCCAGAGCCUGAAUCAGUGUGUGUGUUAGUGGAAGCGUCUGGAAAGGCGCGCGAUACAGGGUGACAGCCCCGUACACAAAAAUGCACAUACUGUGAGCUCGAUGAGUAGGGCGGGACACGUGGUAUCCUGUCUGAAUAUGGGGGGACCAUCCUCCAAGGCUAAAUACUCCUGACUGACCGAUAGUGAACCAGUACCGUGAGGGAAAGGCGAAAAGAACCCCGGCGAGGGGAGUGAAAAAGAACCUGAAACCGUGUACGUACAAGCAGUGGGAGCCUCUUUUAUGGGGUGACUGCGUACCUUUUGUAUAAUGGGUCAGCGACUUAUAUUCUGUAGCAAGGUUAACCGAAUAGGGGAGCCGAAGGGAAACCGAGUCUUAACCGGGCGUUAAGUUGCAGGGUAUAGACCCGAAACCCGGUGAUCUAGCCAUGGGCAGGUUGAAGGUUGGGUAACACUAACUGGAGGACCGAACCGACUAAUGUUGAAAAAUUAGCGGAUGACUUGUGGCUGGGGGUGAAAGGCCAAUCAAACCGGGAGAUAGCUGGUUCUCCCCGAAAGCUAUUUAGGUAGCGCCUCGUGAAUUCAUCUCCGGGGGUAGAGCACUGUUUCGGCAAGGGGGUCAUCCCGACUUACCAACCCGAUGCAAACUGCGAAUACCGGAGAAUGUUAUCACGGGAGACACACGGCGGGUGCUAACGUCCGUCGUGAAGAGGGAAACAACCCAGACCGCCAGCUAAGGUCCCAAAGUCAUGGUUAAGUGGGAAACGAUGUGGGAAGGCCCAGACAGCCAGGAUGUUGGCUUAGAAGCAGCCAUCAUUUAAAGAAAGCGUAAUAGCUCACUGGUCGAGUCGGCCUGCGCGGAAGAUGUAACGGGGCUAAACCAUGCACCGAAGCUGCGGCAGCGACACUGUGUGUUGUUGGGUAGGGGAGCGUUCUGUAAGCCUGUGAAGGUGUGCUGUGAGGCAUGCUGGAGGUAUCAGAAGUGCGAAUGCUGACAUAAGUAACGAUAAAGCGGGUGAAAAGCCCGCUCGCCGGAAGACCAAGGGUUCCUGUCCAACGUUAAUCGGGGCAGGGUGAGUCGACCCCUAAGGCGAGGCCGAAAGGCGUAGUCGAUGGGAAACAGGUUAAUAUUCCUGUACUUGGUGUUACUGCGAAGGGGGGACGGAGAAGGCUAUGUUGGCCGGGCGACGGUUGUCCCGGUUUAAGCGUGUAGGCUGGUUUUCCAGGCAAAUCCGGAAAAUCAAGGCUGAGGCGUGAUGACGAGGCACUACGGUGCUGAAGCAACAAAUGCCCUGCUUCCAGGAAAAGCCUCUAAGCAUCAGGUAACAUCAAAUCGUACCCCAAACCGACACAGGUGGUCAGGUAGAGAAUACCAAGGCGCUUGAGAGAACUCGGGUGAAGGAACUAGGCAAAAUGGUGCCGUAACUUCGGGAGAAGGCACGCUGAUAUGUAGGUGAAGUCCCUCGCGGAUGGAGCUGAAAUCAGUCGAAGAUACCAGCUGGCUGCAACUGUUUAUUAAAAACACAGCACUGUGCAAACACGAAAGUGGACGUAUACGGUGUGACGCCUGCCCGGUGCCGGAAGGUUAAUUGAUGGGGUCAGCGCAAGCGAAGCUCUUGAUCGAAGCCCCGGUAAACGGCGGCCGUAACUAUAACGGUCCUAAGGUAGCGAAAUUCCUUGUCGGGUAAGUUCCGACCUGCACGAAUGGCGUAAUGAUGGCCAGGCUGUCUCCACCCGAGACUCAGUGAAAUUGAACUCGCUGUGAAGAUGCAGUGUACCCGCGGCAAGACGGAAAGACCCCGUGAACCUUUACUAUAGCUUGACACUGAACAUUGAGCCUUGAUGUGUAGGAUAGGUGGGAGGCUUUGAAGUGUGGACGCCAGUCUGCAUGGAGCCGACCUUGAAAUACCACCCUUUAAUGUUUGAUGUUCUAACGUGGACCCGUGAUCCGGGUUGCGGACAGUGUCUGGUGGGUAGUUUGACUGGGGCGGUCUCCUCCUAAAGAGUAACGGAGGAGCACGAAGGUUGGCUAAUCCUGGUCGGACAUCAGGAGGUUAGUGCAAUGGCAUAAGCCAGCUUGACUGCGAGCGUGACGGCGCGAGCAGGUGCGAAAGCAGGUCAUAGUGAUCCGGUGGUUCUGAAUGGAAGGGCCAUCGCUCAACGGAUAAAAGGUACUCCGGGGAUAACAGGCUGAUACCGCCCAAGAGUUCAUAUCGACGGCGGUGUUUGGCACCUCGAUGUCGGCUCAUCACAUCCUGGGGCUGAAGUAGGUCCCAAGGGUAUGGCUGUUCGCCAUUUAAAGUGGUACGCGAGCUGGGUUUAGAACGUCGUGAGACAGUUCGGUCCCUAUCUGCCGUGGGCGCUGGAGAACUGAGGGGGGCUGCUCCUAGUACGAGAGGACCGGAGUGGACGCAUCACUGGUGUUCGGGUUGUCAUGCCAAUGGCACUGCCCGGUAGCUAAAUGCGGAAGAGAUAAGUGCUGAAAGCAUCUAAGCACGAAACUUGCCCCGAGAUGAGUUCUCCCUGACCCUUUAAGGGUCCUGAAGGAACGUUGAAGACGACGACGUUGAUAGGCCGGGUGUGUAAGCGCAGCGAUGCGUUGAGCUAACCGGUACUAAUGAACCGUGAGGCUUAACCUU
Molecule: ribosomal RNA, 2903 nt
Filed under: Escherichia coli
Lineage: Bacteria; Pseudomonadati; Pseudomonadota; Gammaproteobacteria; Enterobacterales; Enterobacteriaceae
Also listed under: 3 other names
Description: 23S ribosomal RNA
Rfam family: Bacterial large subunit ribosomal RNA
Source: RNAcentral